This 4732-nucleotide long non-coding RNA is filed under the name Mytilus galloprovincialis (Mediterranean mussel). The record is from RNAcentral. Lineage: Eukaryota; Metazoa; Mollusca; Bivalvia; Mytilida; Mytilidae.
AAAUAAUAACUCAAAAUGUUGAGUUUUAACGCCCUGACAACAGAUUUUCAUUAAUUUCUGAAAGACCGAGAAGGUUUUCCACCAACAAAAGUUUGAGCUUGAUAAAUCUCUUCAAAUUCUCUUUAACAGGAGGUAAAUGAAUGAUUUAAUUCUUAUAAUUUCACAUUAUGUGAAGCACGACAACUUGAACUCCUGUGGCUGUAGCAGUGUUGGACGGGCCUCCCCUUGUCUUUAAUAUUCGUUGCACUAAAUCUAAAAUCCAAUCGUUAUAAUGAAAGUAAUAAAUUUGAGUGAGUGUGCAUCCUGGUGUCCUACACGCUCCCUUGGGCGGUGUUGGGUGGGGAUUGUUCUGGUGGUGGGAUAAUAUUGUAAAGGACACAUCUCCAUUAAUCCUUAGGGAGUGUACAUGGAUCCGCUGUACCCUUGCAGUCAAUCAAGGGGUGCGUCUUAAUUGGCGGAAUCUCAGUACAUACAUGCUCGCUACAGUAACAAUACAUGUAGCUCUAAAAAUCUUACUGGUAUGACGGGGAGCCAGUUCUUUUAAAGGGAAAAUUCACAAAGAAAUAAAAAUUUGAUAUUAUGUUCAUCCUUAAUAAAUAAGCAUAAUCCAAAAAUAUUAAAGGUUUAUUCAUCUAGAUAAGUGAGUUAAUCGAUUUUUAAAACCAACUAUCAAUAAAAUUUUUUAUCGAUUAUUGAAUUUAUUGUUUCGUUGUAUUGUCAGUAUGCUGUCAGAAGUCCUGGAGCGAAAGCACAGGCCGAAUUCUCUCUACCAGUAACGUAAACGGCUGAGCUAGCGGGGUAUAAUGUAAUGAGACAGAUUAUGAAUGGAAAAUACGUUUACACACGAAAACCCAUUAACAUGAUUAAGUUGCAAUUUUAGACUUUGAAAUUUUAAAUUAUAUACAAUACAAUGCACAUUUUCAACUGUUUAAAGACAACCGUGUCUUGUCCUUUAAAUUGUCUUACUAUGUUGUCAAAUCGCGGACGAUUUGUUUUUCUGGGUAGGGGGUAUUGUAACGUUUGUGGCCGGGUCAUCGUAAAUUCCCCUUUUUCUAUUUUUAGAUACUAUAUAUAACUAUAGUUGUCCAGUCACUUUUUUCGCGGGGAUCGUUUAUCUCCUGCUUGAACUCAAUGUCCAGACUUGGAUAUUUAAACCUCGUCAGGGCAGUAUUUUUUUAGAUUGGGGAAAACUUUCGUACUGGUAAGUUGUACUUUAAAAUUUCAUUUUAUUUUGUAUUUUGAUGUUUGACUUAAAAUAUCUAUUUCUUCUCAUUUGAUAUAUUUCUUUUCGGUCUUGUAGUCAAACAGUUCUAAAAUAUUAAAUUACGUUUCCGUUCCAGAAAAAAUAGGGGGAAUUGUACACGAGCUAGAGAUUUUAUGAUUUCGGGUUUAUAAAGAGAUGGAGUUCAUUUUGAUAGCAAUAUUUAAACAGAUGGCUAAUCCGAGGGGUAUUUUGGAGUAACGGUCGUCAAUCUACGGAAUUGUUCGUGCCUUACUCUGACAUAGAAUUUUGUAUUAUCGCAUGUUUUGGUUUUGGAUCUUGAACUGGUCAAUGAUAUUGAAAAACGUUUUCAGACAUUGCUCUGGUUGGAUUGAAAAUUAAACAGGUAUAGAGAAAUGCGAUGUUUUUUUUUACUAUCUACGGAAUUGUUCGUGCCUUACUCUGACAUAGAAUUUUGUAUUAUUGCAUGUUUUGGUUUUGAAUCUUGAACUGGUCAAUGAUAUUGAAAAACAUUUUCAGACAUUGCUCUGGUUGGAUUGAAAAUUAAACAGGUAUAGAGAAAUGCGAUGUUUUUUUUUACUGGAUCGAUUUUUGUUCCCUAGUCAUAGAAUAAUGAGGUUCAUGAUCUAGUCUAACAAAGUCGGUGGGAACCAGUGGGUAUAUUUUUUUUUGUCUCGGAAGGUUGACGUCACAACUUGAUUGAUUGGAUAAUAUUUUAGUUAAAGACGACUAGUGUACAGCUCUCAAUAUUUUAAGAAAACGGACACCUCAAAUUUCUAGUAUCAUAUUAUUUUAUUCCAUUAGAUAGCACUAAGGCCAAACGCUUCUUUGAAUUGGUAAACUUGUAAUGGGUAUUUUUCACCGCAUCGUUUGUUCAAAAAAAAGGGGAAGUUCGACAAUGUAUUGAAAUUCUGAAAUAUUUUCAUAUUUAUGUAUUUAUAUUGUCUUUGUCUAUUAAAUAUGAAACUGUUUUAUGAAUUUUGGUCAUUUGUUAUAUGAGCAAAUACAUUGCUUGGCAAAUUGUCAUCACUGUCAUAUUUUAGGUUUCAUAUUAUACCUGUCACUUAUUGAAUUUAUUGUUUCGUUGUAUUGUCAGUAUGCUGUCAGAAGUCCUGGAGCGAAAGCACAGGCCGAACCCUCUCUACCAGUAACGUAAACGGCUGAGCUAGCGGGGUAUAAUGUAAUGAGACAGAUUAUGAAUGGAAAAUAUGUUUACACACAAAAACCCAUUUACGUUGCACAGCUAAUCGCUAUUUAUUCCAUUCCGGAUAAGUUCUAAAAUUACACAACCUUUUCAUCCAGUUGAAGCUAUCUGGGACCCUGUUUAAACAAUUCACCAUGCAUGAUACUUUUUAAUGAGACCUGUUUAAACUACCGUACAGGGACGUAGCUAGAAGAAAACGAUGUGCAAGCAACUACCGCUGAGCGGAGCGAGUCGAAAAAAUUUUGGGACCCUUUAAUGCAGAAAAAUGUUUUUUUUUUCGGUUUUCAGUCAUAGGACGGUUUAAAGAGGAGCUACAUGUAGAUAGGACUUAUAAACAAUUUAUGAAUGUAAAACUUUCAAUACUUGAAUCUUAUGAAUAGAGUAAAUCAUGGUUAAUUUAAUACAUAAACAACACAUUUUUGAAUUACAGAAUUUACUCAAAAUUGACCAAAAUCUGCUCUUCGCGUCUAUAAAGCAGAAACGAACUUCUCUAUUACUUUGUCAACAUUCACACUGAUGGGACAAGUAGAAUCAUUCUGCAGAAAAUAAAUUUUAAUCCAACUUUGAUGAACAAAGUAUGAUUAUUAAAAAAAAAAAAAAAACAAGAAAAGAAGAUUUGUUUGAAUCUUUCCAAAUUUAAACUGAAACUAAUUGAAACUUUUUAUUUCUAAAGACCCCCUCAGACUUGCAAUCGAUAAUUUAAAACUGGUUCUUUGUCAGUACUUUUAACAGGUAAAAAGCACACUUUUCUCGGAAACCAGUCUUACCAUCCCAUUCAACCAUGCGCUUUUAAGAUAAGGUAACUUAACAAGACAGUUCCUCACCAGCUCAGAAAUGAUUCGGCUCCAAGUUUAAUAGACAGUUGGGCACCAUAAGAGACAUGAUUAAUAGACAGUUUGGCAAAGCAGUAGACAUUUCUGGACCAAGACAAAUCAGAACCUCUUUUCCUACCUUAUUUUGUUGCUUUAUAAUAAUUAAUACCAAUGUCCAUACCCUAUUUUUUAAAUAAGAAUGAGGAAAUUAUUUACCAUAAAAAUCAUCAAAUCAUGUUUUUUUUUUAUGUAGAAAAAACAGUACUUGCAAUGCAGUGACCUAUAGUUGUUAAUUUCUGUGUCAUUUGGUCUUUUGUCUCAUUGACAAUCAUACCUCAUAUUCUUUUUAUUGAUUGCAUUUGAAUAAACUUUUUUCAACUUAAAAAAAAAUAGGAUAAAAAUCCAAUGAGUGUACAUUUAGAGGCCAAUCAGAUGGUGCCUCAUGUGCAAAGUAUGAUGAGACUUAAGCAUUGAUAAAAACUAGACCUAAGUCCUGUGACACAACUUAAUUCAGUUGUUCAUGGCUCAUAUCUUUUAAAAGUAUUUCAAAGGAUAUAAAUCAAAUUCUGUUCAUUUUUUUUAAUUCAUUUUGUUCCUUGAAUCAACUUGAAAUGCAAAAAAGGUUAUUAUUAAGAUUUUUUUUGGACAAGUUACAAUUUCAUGCGGACAAGUAAGUUUUGGUAUGUACUUGUCCUACUGGACAAGUUGAAAAAAGGUUAUUGUAGAGGCCUGCUCAAUUAUGAAGGUACGUCAUGUAUUUCAUUAUUCAAGCAUCUGCUAUGAACACAGAGUAAAGUAUUUUAUACUGCAAAUAGUUGUGUUUAUUUCCUAAAUAUAGUAACACAGCUAUAUUUUGUGCAAUGUCAAUUUCAUAAUGGAACACUUUUUCCACAGUCAGGGGUUCAUUAAGGGAUGAAAACAAGUUUGAAAUUUGUGUUAUAAUUUAAAUAGCAAUGAAUUUAUUUAUUUAAGUUGCAGUAUAAAACAAUAUUAGGUCAAUGUCAGAAAAAUAACAUUUUUAUUUUACUCGGCGCAAAACUUGGGAAGGGCUCAGUAGAACCUCACCCUUUCCCAGUUUCUCAGCCUCAUACAGAAAGGUUGUUAAUUUUCUGACAUUGAGCUAAUAUUGUAUAUGAAUUCUCAUUUGCAUUGUUAAUGAAUAAUGAAUAACUUGGAGUCAAAAUAAAAGGAUGGCAUUUCAGGAUAGAUAUUGUGGAUACAAUGUAUAUGUAUAAAAAAAUUAUAAUAGCUUUCUUUCUUCAUUUCAUUAUUUUUUGAACAGGCUAAAUUGUCACAAUGGUAAAGAUACAGUGGAAACUUUUAGAGUUGCCAUGGAGACUAAAGGCCUCAGCCAUACAGUCUUUCCAAUGGCUACGAUUGUUAAGGCAGACAUUAUUUUACAACCAUUUUACCUCAACAACAGUCAUCAUGGAAACUGCAGCAGAGCCUAUGUUUUGGACUGUUGAUAGAUUUGCAAAAUACUUAGGACCAGUA